RNAcentral lists this long non-coding RNA (205 nucleotides) under Gossypium barbadense (sea-island cotton). RNAcentral describes it as "long non-coding RNA (GBAR_LNC019958)". Lineage: Eukaryota; Viridiplantae; Streptophyta; Magnoliopsida; Malvales; Malvaceae. The record is from RNAcentral.
GAAAAACUCCAUUCGUUUCAUUUCUUUGAGAUUUUCCAUCUUCUUUCUUUCAAAUUUUCUUGCAAACUAACCCCUAGAAAACAUAGUUGGCGUUUUGAUAAGGACUCUUUUCUUUUAAACGUUUUAGCAUCUCAUAUCAUGUUUACAUGUCUUGAAUGUCUUGUUGAGCCAUUAAUAUGGCCUUUUAAAGAUAUUAAUAAUGUCG